CGGAUUGUAGUCUGNAACCCGACUACAUGAAGCUGGAAUCGCUAGUAAUCGCAGGUCAGCAUACUGCGGUGAAUACGUUCCCGGGUCUUGUACACACCGCCCGUCACACCAUGGGAGCCGGAAAUGCCCGAAGCCAGUGACCCAACCUUAGGGAGGGAGCUGUCGAAGGUGGAGCCGGUAACUGGGGUGAAGUCGUAACAAGGUAUC
This 207-nucleotide ribosomal RNA is filed under the name uncultured bacterium. RNAcentral describes it as "partial 16S ribosomal RNA". It matches the Rfam family "Bacterial small subunit ribosomal RNA", at positions 1294 to 1500 of the family's 1533-position model. The record is from RNAcentral.